UCGAGAGGGGGGGACAAAGGUCACGGAGGAAGCAGGUUUCAUCUUUAGGACAUGAAUUAUCAUUUUCAAAAUCACAGGGGAGGAAGAGGAGACAUUCUAUAACGAGCUGCAGAUCUCGUAACAACACCAGGAUAACCCGAAGCUGCAACAUGCUCCUGUACGUGGCUGUACAGCUCUGGCUUCUACUUCCGCAGCCAGGUCUUGCACAAAGUGACUCCGUGGACCAGUCUCCUCGAGAAGUGAGAGUCUUAGCGGGGCAAAGUGUCACUUUACACUGUAACUUCACCACCGCUGGCACAAACCCGUAUCUGUUUUGGUACCGGCAGUAUCCGAACCAGCCUCCCCAGCAUAUACUGACUAAAGCGAAGUUUGAUGCUCUGGAUCAGACGCUUGUCCAGGGAAAAUUCUCAGCAUCUUUGUACAUGGCUAAUAGGACGGUUCCCUUCAAGAUUGAGGCUGUUUCUCACCAGGAGAGCGCUGUGUAUUACUGUGCCCUGAGACCCACAGUGGGGGAGAACUGCAUCUCCGCUCUACAAAAAGUGAGCAGGGGGCUGUUUAUGGCAAUAUGA
Non-coding RNA from Mauremys reevesii (Reeves's turtle), 569 nucleotides. The record is from the annotation of a RefSeq genome assembly. Lineage: Eukaryota; Metazoa; Chordata; Testudines; Geoemydidae.